Molecule: non-coding RNA, 75 nt
Organism: Thalictrum thalictroides
Lineage: Eukaryota; Viridiplantae; Streptophyta; Magnoliopsida; Ranunculales; Ranunculaceae
Source: the annotation of a GenBank genome assembly
GCAUUACUACUGGUCUAGUGGUCAGGAUAUUGGACUCUGAAGCCAGAAACCCAAGUUCAAAUCUCGGUGGGACCU